ACCCCAUGUAAAGCCGGUAACCUUUGAGAAUCAAUUCACUCAAGGUUGUGACUCAGAUUGGGAACAAAAUUCUCUGAUGUGUGUAUGUUGGAUAAACUCUUACGUUUACCUUACAAAGAAAAAUUCAGAAACA
Molecule: small nucleolar RNA, 133 nt
Organism: Eupeodes corollae
Lineage: Eukaryota; Metazoa; Arthropoda; Insecta; Diptera; Syrphidae
Product: small nucleolar RNA snoR639/H1
Exons: 1
Source: RefSeq, a predicted model, not a curated record